ACCUGAAACCGUGUGCUUACAAGUAGUCAGAGCCCGUUAAUGGGUGAUGGCGUGCCUUUUGUAGAAUGAACCGGCGAGUUACGAUUUGAUGCAAGGUUAAGCAGUAAAUGUGGAGCCGUAGCGAAAGCGAGUCUGAAUAGGGCGUUUAGUAUUUGGUCGUAGACCCGAAACCAGGUGAUCUACCCUUGGUCAGGUUGAAGUUCAGGUAACACUGAAUGGAGGACCGAACCGACUUACGUUGAAAAGUGAGCGGAUGAACUGAGGGUAGCGGAGAAAUUCCAAUCGAACCUGGAGAUAGCUGGUUCUCUCCGAAAUAGCUUUAGGGCUAGCCUCAAGUGAUGAUUAUUGGAGGUAGAGCACUGUUUGGACGAGGGGCCCCUCUCGGGUUACCGAAUUCAGACAAACUCCGAAUGCCAAUUAAUUUAACUUGGGAGUCAGAACAUGGGUGAUAAGGUCCGUGUUCGAAAGGGAAACAGCCCAGACCACCAGCUAAGGUCCCAAAAUAUAUGUUAAGUGGAAAAGGAUGUGGCGUUGCCCAGACAACUAGGAUGUUGGCUUAGAAGCAGCCAUCAUUUAAAG
This 579-nucleotide ribosomal RNA is filed under the name Staphylococcus aureus. RNAcentral describes it as "partial 23S ribosomal RNA". It matches the Rfam family "Bacterial large subunit ribosomal RNA", at positions 548 to 1128 of the family's 2925-position model. The record is from RNAcentral. Lineage: Bacteria; Bacillati; Bacillota; Bacilli; Caryophanales; Staphylococcaceae.